Molecule: ribosomal RNA, 477 nt
Filed under: Candidatus Brocadia fulgida
Lineage: Bacteria; Pseudomonadati; Planctomycetota; Candidatus Brocadiia; Candidatus Brocadiales; Candidatus Brocadiaceae
Description: bacterial SSU rRNA
Rfam family: Bacterial small subunit ribosomal RNA
Source: RNAcentral
UUCGCAAUGCCCGAAAGGGUGACGAAGCGACGCCGCGUGCGGGAAGAAGGCCUUCGGGCUGUAAACCGCUGUCGGGAGUUAAGAAAUGCAAGGGUGUUAACAGCAUCCUUGCUUGACUAAGGCUCCGGAGGAAGCCACGGCUAACUCUGUGCCAGCAGCCGCGGUAAUACAGAGGCGGCAAGCGUUGUUCGGAAUUAUUGGGCGUAAAGAGCACGUAGGCGGCUGUGUAAGUCGGUUGUGAAAGCCUUCCGCUCAACGGGAGAACGGCAUCCGAUACUGCAUGGCUAGAGUGCGGGAGGGGGGAGUGGAACUUCUGGUGGAGCGGUGAAAUGCGUAGAUAUCAGAAGGAACACCGGCGGCGAAAGCGACUCUCUGGCCCGUAACUGACGCUGAGUGUGCGAAAGCUAGGGGAGCAAACGGGAUUAGAUACCCCGGUAGUCCUAGCCGUAAACGAUGGGCACUAAGUAGAGGGGUUUU